Molecule: ribosomal RNA, 305 nt
Filed under: uncultured bacterium
Lineage: Bacteria
Description: bacterial SSU rRNA
Rfam family: Bacterial small subunit ribosomal RNA
Source: RNAcentral
CUCCUACGGGGGGCAGCAGGGAAUAUUGCGCAGUGGAGGAAACUCUGACGCAGUGACGCCGCGUGCAGGAAGAAGGUUUUCGGAUUGUAAACUGCUUUAGACAGGGAAGAAACAAGACAGUACCUGUAGAAUAAGCUCCGGCUAACUACGUGCCAGCAGCCGCGGUAAUACGUAGGGAGCAAGCGUUAUCCGGAUUUAUUGGGUGUAAAGGGUGCGUAGACGGGAAGGCAAGUUGGUUGUGAAAUCCCUCGGCUUAACUGAGGAACUGCAACCAAAACUAUCUUUCUUGAGUGCUGGAGAGGAAA